AGAAGUAAUCAAGGUAAUCGCCGGCGCAGUGCCGAAAGGUCGCGCGGGAGGAAAGUCCGAGCUCCAUCGGGCAGGGUGCUGGGUAACCCCCAGUGGGAGUAAUCCUAAGGAAAGUGCCACAGACAUGAUGACCGCCGAUGGCGCUCUCACGUGAGCGCACAGGCAAGGAUGCAACGGUGCGGUAAGAGCGCACCAGCGGUGCGAAGACGCAUCGGCUAGGUAAACCCCACCUGGAGCAAGACCGCAUAGGAGUGCAUUGUGGCGGCCCGUCACGCACUCGGGUAGGUUGCUUGAGUGGCGUGGUAACACGUCGCCUAGAUAGAUGAUUACCACCUCAAGAGUGCGAGGUGAUACACGCUCUUUGUUUUUUGCGAAUGACACCGCUUGUAGCACGAGAGGAACAGAACUCGGCUUAUCGAUUGCUUCUUUGA
RNAcentral lists this RNase P RNA (431 nucleotides) under Acidibacillus sp. RNAcentral's name for it is "RNase P RNA component class A". It matches the Rfam family "Bacterial RNase P class A". From Rfam's summary of the family: Ribonuclease P (RNase P) is a ubiquitous endoribonuclease, found in archaea, bacteria and eukarya as well as chloroplasts and mitochondria. Its best characterised activity is the generation of mature 5'-ends of tRNAs by cleaving the 5'-leader elements of precursor-tRNAs. Cellular RNase Ps are ribonucleoproteins. The record is from RNAcentral. Lineage: Bacteria; Bacillati; Bacillota; Bacilli; Caryophanales; Alicyclobacillaceae.